GUCAUUUUAUCUCCGGAUCUUUAUCUGUUUCAACAACAAUAAACAAAGAGCAAAUCAAAAAAUCAUUAGAUGAUUUGAAUUGGAAGGAAGAUUACUAGAUUAGCUCUAAUCUAGUUCAUAGGAAAAGAUUUAAGGCAGAACAAGAAAUGCAUUAUACUAUCGAUUACACUAAAUGAGAAAGAAUCAGAACAUCAAAGGGCAGUUAAAAAAACAGAACAAACAUU
Arabidopsis thaliana (thale cress) is the source of this 224-nucleotide long non-coding RNA. RefSeq annotates it as other RNA. The record is from RefSeq. NCBI's taxonomy places the organism in Eukaryota, Viridiplantae, Streptophyta, Magnoliopsida, Brassicales, Brassicaceae. The transcript has a single exon.